Molecule: long non-coding RNA, 214 nt
Filed under: Carica papaya (papaya)
Lineage: Eukaryota; Viridiplantae; Streptophyta; Magnoliopsida; Brassicales; Caricaceae
Description: long non-coding RNA (CPAP_LNC005864)
Source: RNAcentral
CGCGCAGGACCUACAGUGCGUAAGGCACAACGUGCAAGCCUACUGCACGUAGGCCAAUGCGUGCAAGCGUACCACGCAAGCCUACUGCGCGGACAUCGCAAGCACAGGACACAUGGAGCUGUGCCCGUCUACGCGCGAGGGGACACGCAUGGACUGCACCUGUUUACGUGCGAUGGGAUACGUGCAUGGACCAAGCCUCGUGCAACUCAUGGAC